UACCUUUGGGAAAAAAAUAUAUGUGCAGUUAAUGUGUAGAUUGUUUGCAACUUUUUUUGUUGAACUUUCUUUCCUCUCAAUGCUAUUAUGAAUCUGACAGGCAAUAAGACCCAUUGCUCAGGCAUCUAGUUUGCAACGUCCCAGCAUUCUGCAAGGUUCACUUGCUAGGCCAGUUGCCGAACAGUUUGGCAAAAUGUAAGUUGUUUGAAUUUUCUUUCACUUUUUGAAUGGUCUUUUCUAGUAUUCUUAGUGCUCUUACGUCAAAAGGUGUAGUUCUUCUCAGCAUCGUUGAAUAACUUUUAUGUGCUCCACUUCUUGUAGGUCCUUAAGCUUCCC
This 336-nucleotide long non-coding RNA is filed under the name Linum usitatissimum (flax). Its description in RNAcentral is "long non-coding RNA (LUSI_LNC001242)". Lineage: Eukaryota; Viridiplantae; Streptophyta; Magnoliopsida; Malpighiales; Linaceae. The record is from RNAcentral.